AGGUCUUAGGUUCAAUCAUGGGCAUCACCUUCCUUGCUUUGUCUAGGAACAUUGUGAUUUAUCUUCGCCUUGUUGGCUGUGGGGAUGAUUAUGGGUGGGUGGCAUAUACCCUUUACAAUUGUAGAGAGGCUAAUCCACUAAAAUUUUUCCUCAAGGAUUCAAAUAGAUAUUAUUUGAUGAUGGAUAAAUCAUUAAUAUAUCUACCCCUUGCUUCCUAUAUAACCCAAUCAUUAAAAUAUCCAAACCUAAUUCAUGCCUUACCUUCAAAGUUCAAACCCAAAUCAUAUCCCAACCUGCGCCCAGCAUUUCCCUGAAAGUCACCAUUUCUAUUCGAUAAUGUUUUCUACCAAAAUGUAGGAACACAAGAGCAUAUAGCAAUCAAUUUCGAUAGACCACAUAGCAAAUGAAAUCCUCUUUGAAUCAAGUCACGGCUGACAUCUCUUAAGUCAGGAAGGAUCAAACAACAUCUUAAAAAAAUGUGUGUGAAUAGGCAAGACCUUUUAUCAGAUACAUAGAAAGAGAUAAGUUUAAAUUGAACCAAAUACUGAGGGAAAACGCAUGUAGCCAUGAAAAAUAAGCUGAUGAUCAUUUCAAGGUAAAGCUCAGAUCCUCUUUUAUGCAAAACAAAAGUAUCACGACUAAAACAUGAGAGAUCCACAAGGUGUUGUUAGCUAGAUUGUGUAAAACCAUGAGCAUACUUCAAGCCAUAUGAGAUUCGGCACCAAGAAAUGCCUCAAGCAACAAGAGCUCCAGGAAAAUGAGUGAAUUUCUUGUGUUCACAAACUAAAUCAUUGUGAUAUGAAGCUUUCAUACGCAUUGAAUCUCCUUCUAAGAUGAAAUAGAUCUUGGUAAAAAGAAAUACAUAUACAUGAUGAAACGAAAAGGGGUUGACAUUAUUGUGCAAAGAGUAAAAGCAAUCUGGAGUAACACAAUCUCAAAAAAUGAAGUGCUGGUUGAUGCAGAUUACAUAACACUCAGAAAUUCACGAAACUACUGAAACAAUAUAGCCUCUUACUAUAACACUCAGUGUACGAAGAAAGACUCAGGACAACUUCACUAAACCCUAAACCUUAAAUGCAAACACACGCAUGAGUUGAUUAGUCAAGGAAUUGGGGAGCCAAAAAGGAAAUAGAUACUAAAUCACAAGACUAAUUAGAACUACAGACCAGGAGAAGCUUUGACUUCAGAAACACACUCACUUCAAUGGGAUUACAACCAAACAAUGUAUAUGAUUGUCAAUUUUGACAUACAUAAGCUAAAAUUACAAAAAUUUCGAUAAUUCCCAAAGUUACGAUCAUGAUUUUCUACUCAAAACUAUAGACACGACUCUAAAAGAAGCCCAUACGAAAUCAACAUUGUGCUUUGGUUUACAUCCUGAAACUUUAUGCAACUUUCAGAGAAGUAUCUCUUUCUACCAGUGGACAUGUCUUUAGUCUUUACAUACAAAGAACAUGAGAUUAUGUGUAAGACGGACUCUAUCCAUGCAGAGAACAUUGAGUAACGACUUCUAAGGGAUUGGUUUCACUUGUAUUUGAAUUUAUGGAUGAAUGAGCCACAGUGUUCCAAAAACAUGUAGAGGGUAUCAUUAUCAUGAAUCAUAUCAUAGGAUACAAAUUUAAUUAGAAUACGUCUGAUAGAUAAUAUUAUUGGUGUUCCAAAAAAUCCUACUUAGGGCGCUUAAGCAUCCAUUGGGUGUUCUCCUUAUGGUUUUAAUUAGAAAGGGUCACUAAAUCAUCCACCUAGCUUAAGCAUCCCUCACCACUUAUAUUAGCCGCUAAUCGUCAAAAAUAAGAACUUGAAAAAUAAUAAGGGGACUAUUUCUCAUACAGGAAGUUAUCUUCUCAAUCCUUAAUGGCUAAUUGGCAUCACUAGAACAGUGAAACUAGCCAUGUUGAAAAAGUAACUUAGCUUUUAAUUCUAACAUGUACAUGUAUUCUGAUAAUAUUCAUAUCAUGUAUUGUGAAAUGAACCAUUUAUCCACCGAUGUUCCUGGGUGACCCUUGCUAAAACAAUUAAGCCCUAGAAGAACAAACCACAUAAUAACAUCAAGUUUUUGAGGUUUGAAUGCAGAAUCGAUUCAGCUAAAAGCGGAUGUGACCCAAAAUAAUAUAUAUCCAUCCAUCACUUAAGAAGUAUUUUUACCAUGUUGGAUAACUAGUCUGAAUUCUCAUGUGCAUCCAUCCGCCCACUCAAGGAUCACUUGUCCCCGCAUGCCCUUCACGUAUAAUGCUCCCUUGAUACUUAAGACAUGCACAUAUAACUGCAUGAUACAAUGAAACAAAUUAGGGUUUGUCAAUGCAAUGAGUUUUUUAAACAUUCAACAACAAUCUAUUUACAACUCCUUUCUCUAACAAUUGGUGAAUGCCACCCACCAACCGGUCCCACAGCUACCAACAUGGGGAAGGUAAACUACAAUGUCCACAAAGCAAGGAAGGUGAUGCUAGGCUUCAACCUACAACCUCACUUGUGGAUUCUCAUCUCAUUAGCAAGCAUGGAGGGACUCCUUGCUCUAACAAGAGUAAGCCUAAACAUGGAUACUUCUAGCACUAGUGUCCAAAAAAAAAACGAAACUCAAAAAGAAAACCAAGAUAAAUGAAAAGGGAAAAAUCCAGAAAAGCACAACCAUUUAUCUACUAGCAUUCAGAAAAACCCUUGCAUUUUGUUUAUAUGCAGAGAACCCUUAUAUUUUUUGCUACCUUUCACAUUAACCAAAAUAUCCGGUUUUUUAAAGAAAUUACCAAUUGUUUUGUGACAUGACAUUUAUCUUUUUCAUUUUUAGGUUAACAUGGAAUCAAAAAUAAGUGACGUUGCCUCUUAUCUAUGGUAAAACGUGAGAAAUAGAUCAUUUACUCAACAAUCAUUUACUUAGGCAAAUAUAAGUGACAUUGCUUAUUUUUUUUCCAUGUCAACUUAAAAACAAACAAGAUAAAUAUAUUGUCAUAAAACAACCGAUAAUUUAAAAUUAAAGAAAAAACCCAGAUAUUUGGGUAAAUCUGAAAUGUAACUGAAAAUGUAAUGGUUUUUCUGCAUAUAAACAAAAUAUAAGGGUUUCUCUGAGUGUUGGUAGAUAAAUGGUUGUGCUUUUCUGCAAUUUGAAAACAAAAAAAAAAAUCUGAAAAACCAACAGUUGGUUUCUCCGAAGUCAAAAUCAGAAAUUUUUGGUUCAUUACCAGUUUCAAGUGAAAAACCAAACAGAACCAUGUUCACCCUUAUCUAACACUAACAAAUUAAAAGGGCUGCACAGUGACUUAUCUAUUUCUAAGUAUCGGGACUACUACAGGAAAGUAAUCUUUAUCGAACAACAAAGAAACCCUACAUCGACUCCCUCAUAAAGUUAUAUACAUAAAUUGAUAAAUUGGAUAAAAAAGACAGAAUAACUAAUUCACACAUUGAAACAAAAACAAAAAGAGUGUCCAUUUUCUAUAAGAACAAAGAUCAUCCACAAAGCUAAAACAAUAUAUUACUCCCUCCAUUCGAGAAAAAUGUAAUGUUUGAUUUAUCAUGUACUUCAAUAUAUAGAAGUCUUUGACUAAUAAUCAAAUACCAAAAAUACCCCUAGGACAUAGGACAUAACUAACUGAGAAAACUUGUGCAUCAAAAUCAAUGUCACCAAUUUCUUGCUAUAAUUAUCCAGGGAAAAAUAGAUACAUUUGGACUAGAAUCCUCAGAAGUUUUGGUAGAACUCAAAACAAAAGUUGCUCCCUUAUAAAAUAAUCAAAUACAAUAAAAACUUCAUUAGAAGGCAUUAAGUAGAUCAUGUUCAGAUUCUUCUCCCACCAAACAUCUUCAACGUCGUCUUUUUGCCUAAUUUGUAUGUCCAUUUUCUCGUGGGUUAUUAAAACAUCUUAAUCUAGUUUCUAAAAAAAUGAAUUUAAGCAAAAUAAGCAUUCCAUACUUAACAUGCAUCCUAGAAAGUUGUGGAACUACUCAUAUGAUACGCAAAGGCAAAGCUUACAACCGGUAUAACAUUAAAAAUAGUCUAGACUCUAGAAUAACAAGUGACAUCUAAUAAAGCCAUCUUAAUUGCUUAAUUUUUUUACUAAUUAGUUGCAAAUUAUGGGAAGACAACAAUCAUAUCAUAUGAAUAUAACAUAUAUAUCCCAAGACAAUCUUUACCCUCAAGUGGAACUAAUUCAGGAGUUGUAUCAUUAUAUUAUUGUGAUCCUUGUUGUCUUAAUACAUGACCACACCAUGAUGAGGAAUAACUCAGAAACAAUUCUCCUUAAUUACUUAGUUUUUAUCUCGAAUUGGUGGUAAAAACUAAAAUAAUCAAAACUCUAAACGGUAAUUAUCCAGUUUGGGUGGAGCUUCAUUUAGUCUCAUUUCUUAUAACUUAUUCAUUUAGCACAAGCAAAAAGUAUCAGAAAGUUGUCAGCAAUCACCAACCAGCUAUCAUAGAUGUAGGCAGUUGAAUUGCAAGUAAAGUUACUCAUGCUUCAUUGCUUCUUCCUAAUACUGGAAGUUCUAAAUUUUUUUUAACAAAAUCGCACCUGAAGUUAUUUUAGCAUACAAAUUCACAGUUAUUUUGUUGCAUACAUUUUAAAGUGUUUAUGAUGAUGACCCUAAAAAAUCUCUAUUUAUUAUUUACAGUUCUGGCAAAGGGAGGCUGCAAUGUUAAAGCAACAACUGCAGAGUCUGCAAGAGAAUCAUAGGUAAAAUUUCUAUCUAACAAGAUUCAGUAAGUGCAAAGCAUGAAAACUAGUGAUACAGACUAUGUUCUUAAUCCAUAAGGACAACCUUUUACAUGAAUUUCUAAGAGGGCAAAUAGUUUGACAUGUUACAUUCAUAUACUACAUUAUUACAGGGCUAAAUAGUGAAUAAUCCUGGAAAUAAAAAACUAAUAAUUAGACUAUAUUGUAUAAUAGUUAUAAAGUUAAUAUUUGAUAUUGAGAAAUAAAAUGAAAUAUUAUUGGAUAUCUAAUAAAACAGAAUUACUAGAGAAAAAAUAAUAAAGAUUUAGAUACUUAAAUAUAAUUACGGGAGUAAAGUGAAAUAUAUUGAAUAAGGGGGUUAAAUAUACAAAACAUAAAAACAAUAUAAGCAUUUAAUAGUAGUUGAUACAAAAAUAAAAAUAAGUCGAGUGUUCCAAUGUAAUAACCUCUUUAAACAUUAUUUCAUAUAGUAAUAAACUNAAAAAAAAAAAAAAAAAAAAAAAAAAAAAAAAAAAAAAAAACCUCCCGUUCCCAUUGGAGAUGCUCUAACAACAAGUAAUCCUAUACUUGUAAUGCAAUCUAGUAUCCUUAAGAAACUUCUGGAAAUUGAUUAAAAUAUACAAGGAUAUAUUGAGUUUAACAAUAACAAUUAUAGGCGAAUGAUGGGUGAAGAGCUUUCUGGUUUAAGUGUGAAAGAUCUACAGGGCAUGGAGAGCCAACUUGAAAUGAGUCUCAGAGGUAUCCGUAUGAAAAAGGUUUGAAUCUACUAACCUUUAUCUAAUGCUAAUCUUGUGACUUAUAUACUUUACUUAUGUAACCAAAAAAACUUUGUCUUGAUGACAAUUGAUGAAUUGCUAUAGGACCAACUUCUUUUUGAGGAAAUCGAAGAACUCAGCCGAAAGGUCAAGCCAAAACCUUAAGACCAUUUUCAAAUGUCAAUUCUAGAGAAAGUAUAUCUUCAAGUAACUUGAUCUUUUUUUACUCAUUCAGGGGAAUCUCAUCCACCAUGAAAAUGUCGAACUUUGUAAGAAAGUAACCCAAAUUCGUGAAGAAAAUACCGAACUCUACAACAAGGUAUUUAAUAUUUUAUCAACUGCAGUGAAAAAUAUUUCAGUAAAAUCAUGAAACAUAAUGAAUUAGUAAUUUUGUCACCUCCUAGAUUUAUGGAAUAAGAGAUGGAGAAGCAGCAAACAGAAAUGUAUUUUUGACAAAUGGUUCAAGCAUGAGAGAGGAUCCACAUCCCCCAAUCCAUCUCCAGCUUUCUCAGCCAGAUCAAC
Molecule: long non-coding RNA, 5929 nt
Filed under: Lactuca sativa (garden lettuce)
Lineage: Eukaryota; Viridiplantae; Streptophyta; Magnoliopsida; Asterales; Asteraceae
Description: long non-coding RNA (LSAT_LNC006869)
Source: RNAcentral